This 976-nucleotide unclassified non-coding RNA is filed under the name Hevea brasiliensis (rubber tree). Lineage: Eukaryota; Viridiplantae; Streptophyta; Magnoliopsida; Malpighiales; Euphorbiaceae. The record is from RNAcentral.
UGUCAAUCUCGCCCACUUCUGUGUACGCUCUCUAUUCUAUUUCCCUCUGUGUCUGUGUGUUUAUGUAUUUAUCAUAUUUUGCUGAUUAGGGUUCUAAUUUUUUUAUAAAUUGAAGAAAUAAAGCCUAUUAGUUUUGGAUUGAGGAGAGUAUAUGCGUGGAUUAUGAUGCUAUUGUUGAACGUUGGAAUUGGAUUCUUAUGUUUUGGAUUUCGGGGUUUUCAAGUGCUUUCAGGUGAUUAUUUAGUUAGAUUUGUUGUGCUGUUAUGAAAAAUAGAUUUUUGAGGUUUCUCUGUGUUACUACGUGCCCUACUUGUUGGAUCCAGGUACAGAAGCAGGAAAUUAGAUGCUGAAAUUGAACUAGGUUGAUGAGUAGUUAGAUGUGGGGAUUAGAAAUAUGUCUGCUUUUAGAUAUAUUUGUCCAUGCACUUAUAUUAAGUCCUUACUUUAUAUCCUCUUACUGUCUUGGUUGGGUUACCUUGCUUUAAUAUCUAAGUGGUGCUGUCUUGACAUCACAGUAUCAGUCUGUUGUUGAUGUGUUUAUCCACGUAAUUCUAUAUUCUGUGCCAUGUUCCCUCACUGUGGAUUAACUUCUAGGUGAGGCAUUUACUUUCUGCUGAUUCUGCAUUUGAGUUAAAAGUAACUAUUACUUGUAAUAGUGGAGGUUCUUAUUUAUUUAACAGAAGUAGUGAAUAAUGUCUAAUUCAGUGAUUUAUCACAGCUUUAAUAGCAAUAAACUACAGCAGUAUUGCUGCUGUUUAAUAGGCAUUUUUUGGAUUUUGAAAUAACUUAACAUCAUUUUAUCUUUCACUCAAUCCUUUGCUAAAUGGGAUUUAUGACUAUUGAUCAAUUUCUUAUAUGUUCCUUUUCCUGUUUAAUUUUUUUUUUCCUAAUACUACCUUAAAGUUCGUACUUGAAAAUGGACCAUGAUUAAGUAAAAUGCUUUAUCUUGUAGAUCACUUAUCACUUCUUCCACUGG